GAACGCACAUUGCGCCCGCUAGUAUUCUGGCGGGCAUGCCUGUUCGAGCGUCAUUUCAACCAUCAAGCUCCCGGCUUGCAUUGGAGCCCUGCGGCUGCCGCAGGCUCCCAAAUCCAGUGGCGGGCUCGUCGUCGUACCGAGUGCAGUAAACAUCCUCGCUCAGGGAACGCGGCGGGUUCUUGCCGUAAAACCCCCCCCACAUCAAGGUUGACCUCGGAUCAGGUAGGAAUACCCGCUGAACUUAAG
This 246-nucleotide unclassified non-coding RNA is filed under the name uncultured Podospora. RNAcentral's name for it is "sequence contains 5.8S rRNA gene". The stretch from base 1 to 53 matches the Rfam family "5.8S ribosomal RNA", at positions 102 to 154 of the family's 154-position model. The record is from RNAcentral. Lineage: Eukaryota; Fungi; Ascomycota; Sordariomycetes; Sordariales; Lasiosphaeriaceae.